CCCAGGGUUUACACCCUGGGCUAGGUAGCUCCACUCCUUCGGAGUG
This is a small RNA of 46 nucleotides. It matches the Rfam family "Acido-Lenti-1 RNA". The record is from Rfam.